AAGGAUCAUUAUCGUAGGGCUCCGGCCCUGUCGAGAUAGAACCCUUGCCUUUUUCGAGUACCGUCCGUUUCCCCAGCAGGCUUGCCUGCUACCGGGGACCCAAAACCAAACUCUUUGUACCUGUAAUCGUCUGAAAACAAAACAAAAAUUAAAACUUUUAACAACGGAUCUCUUGGUUCUG
This 181-nucleotide unclassified non-coding RNA is filed under the name uncultured fungus. RNAcentral describes it as "partial contains 18S rRNA, ITS1, 5.8S rRNA, ITS2 and 28S rRNA". The record is from RNAcentral. Lineage: Eukaryota; Fungi.